Molecule: unclassified non-coding RNA, 241 nt
Filed under: uncultured Actinomycetes bacterium
Lineage: Bacteria; Bacillati; Actinomycetota; Actinomycetes
Description: uncultured actinobacterium contains 16S-23S intergenic spacer region
Source: RNAcentral
UCCGAGUUGACCCCGGCAGUCUCUCACGGGUUUCACCCUGCAUGUCAAGCCCAGGUAAGGUUCUUCGCGUCGCAUCGAAUUAAGCCGCAUGCUCCGCCGCUUGUGCGGGCCCCCGUCAAUUCCUUUGAGUUUUAGCCUUGCGGCCGUACUCCCCAGGCGGGGUGCUUAAUGCGUUAGCUUCGGCACGGACGGGGUUGAUAUCCGCCCACACCUAGCACCCAACGUUUACGGCUAGGACUAC